AGCAGCCGCGGUAAUUCCAGCUCCAAUAGCGUAUAUUAAAGUUGUUGCAGUUAAAAAGCUCGUAGUUGAAUUUCGGGGUCAGCAGGUCGGUCGUGCCUACGGUAUGCACUGGCCUUGCUGAUUCCUCCCUCUUGAUGAGCCGUAAUGCCAUUAAUUUGGUGUUGCGGGGAAUCAGGACUGUUACUUUGAAAAAAUUAGAGUGUUUAAAGCAGGCAAGCGCUUGAAUACAUUAGCAUGGAAUAAUGAAAUAGGACGUUCGAUCCUAUUUUGUUGGUUUCUAGGAUUGACGUAAUGAUUAAUAGGGAUAGUUGGGGGCAUUAGUAUUCAAUUGUCAGAGGUGAAAUUCUUGGAUUUAUUGAAGACUAACUACUGCGAAAGCAUUUGCCAAGGAUGUUUUCAUUAAUCAAGAACGAAAGUUAGGGGAUCGAAGACGAUCAGAUACCGUCGUAGUCUUAACCAUAAACUAUGCCGACUAGGGAUCGGAUGAUGUAAUUUUUUAAUGA
This 503-nucleotide small RNA is filed under the name uncultured Glomus. RNAcentral's name for it is "SSU rRNA". It matches the Rfam family "Eukaryotic small subunit ribosomal RNA", at positions 569 to 1078 of the family's 1831-position model. The record is from RNAcentral. Lineage: Eukaryota; Fungi; Glomeromycota; Glomeromycetes; Glomerales; Glomeraceae.